This 489-nucleotide long non-coding RNA is filed under the name Brassica napus (rape). Its description in RNAcentral is "long non-coding RNA (BNAP_LNC027108)". Lineage: Eukaryota; Viridiplantae; Streptophyta; Magnoliopsida; Brassicales; Brassicaceae. The record is from RNAcentral.
AGUGGUCGUUUCUUAUCUUUAGAUAAAAUUAAUUCGAGGAUAUAAGAUGCUUUCCGUAAUUAAAUGCAAUCACUAAAGUUCAUAGUGGUCGGGUUCCGUCAUGGGUUCUCUGAGGCGGCAAAUGAUGCUGAUCCAUAGUGGUUGAGUUGGUCUUCAACUCUUGUGUUUGGCGGUUUCUUCAUUUGCUCGGAGUAAUGCUUCCCAGUGCCAACAGCUGGUUACUUGAUCUCGUUGGGAACAUUAUUUCUUGAGUUCUUCGUGCAGGGUAUGAGCUUGGUUUGACAGCGUUGCAGUUGCUAUUCAAUCCCAAUUUUUAUGGUAUCGAGUCUAUUUGUUUAGUAUUGAAUCUGUUUGUGAUGUCCUUUGAGUGUUUGUCUGUGUUUAGGUCUAGGUUGUUGUGUGUGUUGUAUGGUCUUGUGUUUAUGUUUUUGUCCGAUCUUAAUUAAAUUUCGCUGUGGAUCAAUGGUGAGAAGAGAGUGGAGACUAUGU